This 1899-nucleotide ribosomal RNA is filed under the name Triticum aestivum (bread wheat). RNAcentral's name for it is "partial small subunit ribosomal RNA". The record is from RNAcentral. Lineage: Eukaryota; Viridiplantae; Streptophyta; Magnoliopsida; Poales; Poaceae.
AUGGUCAUCCGUGAUGUAUUCAUCGAGGACGAGCCGGGGACAGAGACGAUAGGACCGGCUGCAAAAUCACUGAUGAAGAGAAGUCCGAGCAUUGACCGGAUGGAAGGGGUGGGGGAGGGAUCCUUGGCAUCUAAAAAGGAAGUGGGGAAGGGUGCCCGCCACCUGUUCGACGGAAUGCUCGAGAUGGCUGCGGCGAGUGACAGUGACCCUUUUGGAGACCUCCCUGACGAGCUUCUAUGGCGUGUGCUGUCCUUCCUGUCGGUGGAGGAUGCCCUGCAGACCUGUGUGCUCAACACCCGAUGGCGCGAUCUCUGGAGGCGCUUGACCAGUUUGUUGUUCGUCUUUAAUGGGCCAACAUUUCCGCGAUACAACCGUUUCAAACAGUUGGUGAAGCUGGUCAUCUGUCUCCGUGGGGACUCGCCUCUCAUCAGGUGCGAGAUCGAUGCCUGUCCUGACGAUGAGCCUGAGAACACGUUCACAAACACCAGGCUGUUGAUUGACUACGCUCUGGCAUGCAAAGCUGAGGAACUCGUAGUAAGAGCAGCUCACAUUCAGUACGCCCUACCAGUGUUUGAUGUGCCUCUGAGUCUCAUUUCCCAACACUUGAAGACCCUGCACCUUGAAGGGGUCAACCUCAACCACUCUGCUUUGAAGUUCUCAGGCUGCCUGGUGUUAGAGGAUCUAAGGAUUCAACUUUGCAACAUUCGUGCAUGUGAGAUAUCAUCCAUGUCACUAAAGCGCCUGUGCAUAGCCGACUACUGUUCUCUACCUGACAUUGUGCGCCUUCGGAUUUGUGCCCCGGGUCUUAUCUCACUUCAGCUAGAGGAUUUUGAAGGCCUGACACCUUUCCUUGAAAACAUGCCAUUGCUAGAAACAGCCCAUGUUAACCUUGAAGAUGGAUGCCAUGAUCACUGUCGCAGUAAUCAGGGGGUUUGUGAUAAUAUUGUCUGUGGUUGUCAUGCUUAUCCUGUCAAGGAGGGGGUGCUUCUCAAUGGUUUGUCCAAUGCUGCCAAGUUGGACUUGAUAGCUUUACCUAAAAUGUUUCUGUACAGAUGGGAUUUGAAAUGGUGCCCCGUCUUUGGCAAAUUAAAGACUCUGUUACUCAAUGAGUGGUUUACAACUGUUGACCUUGUUUGCAUUCUCCGACACUCUCCAGUUCUUGAGAUACUCACUCUUCAGCUUGAUAACACCGAGAAUAUUGUAGGAGCAACAGGAGCCCAAGAAACAAUAACACAAUCAUUUUUGUGUGAACGCCUAAAGUUCGUUUAUAUUGAAUGUGAAAAGGUUGAUGAGGGAGUUCGUUCAAUCUUGAGUAUCUUAAGUACAUGCGGCAUACUUCGUGAGCAAAUUAGCAUCAAGGAGGAUCCACGUUUGGACUCAGAUUGGCAGUUCUUCCACCUCCAGUGCGUGCAACCAACUAAGCUGAGCAUACCUGGAACCCCCCAUCCCCAUGCUUUGUUCAUCUCCAAAAGCCGAGUGUUCCAGAGCAUUGGGUGCUCUCAAAUACUGUGGCCUAAACACUUGAACCACCGCCUUAGCAAAUCGCUUCACACACUUGAUGGAAGUGCUCUCUCCCAUUGCCAGCUCGUUGGGCGGCAUAGUAAAGGCGUCAGGAUGGACCCAGGGGUCGGAGGGGAGCCGGGGGAUGCAACCAACUUCGGCGGCGGCGUGCCGCCUUGUAUCGAGAGCUCGAUAUGGAGUGGCGGCUCGGCGCUGGUCACCCGGCCGAUAAUCGACCUCGCAGGCGACGACGAGCAUAUCAUCCAUCGGCGGGGCAGGAAAACGGUCGAAAUGGACGACUUCGGGCGGUGGUGUGUGGAGCUUCUGUGGCGGCUGCGGGGGUCAUGGCGGUUGUCUCCAACAGAAGGAAUGGGUGUCAGGGCUCGGCGUGGCCGAUAG